This 429-nucleotide ribosomal RNA is filed under the name Bacteroidota bacterium. RNAcentral describes it as "Bacteroidetes bacterium partial 16S ribosomal RNA". It matches the Rfam family "Bacterial small subunit ribosomal RNA", at positions 355 to 776 of the family's 1533-position model. Lineage: Bacteria; Pseudomonadati; Bacteroidota. The record is from RNAcentral.
UAGGGAAUCUUCGGCAAUGGGGGGAACCCUGACCGAGCAACGCCGCGUGAGUGAAGAAGGUUUUCGGAUCGUAAAGCUCUGUUGUUAAGGAAGAACGAGUGUGAGAAUGGAAAGUUCAUACUGUGACGGUACUUAACCAGAAAGGGACGGCUAACUACGUGCCAGCAGCCGCGGUAAUACGUAGGUCCCGAGCGUUGUCCGGAUUUAUUGGGCGUAAAGCGAGCGCAGGCGGUUAGAUAAGUCUGAAGUUAAAGGCAGUGGCUCAACCAUUGUAGGCUUUGGAAACUGUUUAACUUGAGUGCAGAAGGGGAGAGUGGAAUUCCAUGUGUAGCGGUGAAAUGCGUAGAUAUAUGGAGGAACACCAGUGGCGAAGGCGACUCUCUGGUCUGUAACUGACGCAGAGGCUCGAAAGCGUGGGUAGCAAACAGG